GUUUUCCAUUUGUUAAUAAAUUUUGUUAGUCCUGAUAGGUAGGGCAUUGUUGUUAAUAAUAAAUGGUCAGUUACAUUUGUCAUGUAAGGUCACCAUCUUGGAAGGGCUAUAUAUGAAUGAAGAGUGAAGGCAUGUAUUUUCAUCUAUCACAACUUUUUUACUAGGGCUUGUAAAUAAUGACCUUAAAGAUUAAUUAGUUACCACUCUUGUCAGUUUUUGUGGAGCCACUUUCUCAAAAUUUCUAUGUCCACCCAUGACGCAUAUACCUUAAGCCGAUCCCUAACCAGUUGGCUGGCUAAAUAUGCAUUUAGCCUCUGGAAUCAUUUACCCAUAUUAGCAUAAAUAUAGUAGCUAUGCCAUGUGUAGGAAACAUAUGGUACAUAAAGAUAUGCGUGAAAGAAAGAGAGAUAGACUUACGGCGGAUCGGAGGCAUUCUAG
This 438-nucleotide unclassified non-coding RNA is filed under the name Hevea brasiliensis (rubber tree). Lineage: Eukaryota; Viridiplantae; Streptophyta; Magnoliopsida; Malpighiales; Euphorbiaceae. The record is from RNAcentral.